RNAcentral lists this ribosomal RNA (482 nucleotides) under uncultured bacterium. RNAcentral describes it as "bacterial SSU rRNA". It matches the Rfam family "Bacterial small subunit ribosomal RNA", at positions 28 to 507 of the family's 1533-position model. The record is from RNAcentral.
GACGAACGCUGGCGGCGCGCCUAACACAUGCAAGUCGAACGGAGAUUACAGGCGGAAGUUUUCGGAUGGAAGCUUGUAAACUUAGUGGCGGACGGGUGAGUAACACGUGAGCAACCUGCCUAUCAGAGGGGGAUAACGAUUGGAAACGAUCGCUAAUACCGCAUGACAUAGCGGAAUCGCAUGGUUCUGCUAUCAAAGAUUUUAUCGCUGAUAGAUGGGCUCGCGUCCGAUUAGAUAGUUGGUGGGGUAACGGCCUACCAAGUCGACGAUCGGUAGCCGGACUGAGAGGUCGAACGGCCACAUUGGGACUGAGACACGGCCCAGACUCCUACGGGGAGGCAGCAGUGGGGGAUAUUGCACAAUGGGGGAAACCCUGAUGCAGCGACGCCGCGUGAGGGAAGACGGUCCUCUGGAUUGUAAACCUCUGUCUUCGGGGACGAAACGAGACGGUACCCGAGGAGGAAGCCACGGCUAACUACGUG